This is a non-coding RNA of Gossypium raimondii (Peruvian cotton), 152 nucleotides long. The record is from Rfam. Lineage: Eukaryota; Viridiplantae; Streptophyta; Magnoliopsida; Malvales; Malvaceae.
UGUUAAAAUUUUCAUUUAUUUUUACUAUUAAAAACUAACAUGGUUGACAGAAUAACCAAACAAUGACAUGUAAUGUGUCAUUUGCCAUGUAUACCUCAUGCUGACAUAUACGAGGCAGUUUUUAACAAUAGAAAUAAAUAAAGCUUUUAACA